Non-coding RNA from Schizosaccharomyces pombe (fission yeast), 626 nucleotides. The record is from the annotation of a GenBank genome assembly. NCBI's taxonomy places the organism in Eukaryota, Fungi, Ascomycota, Schizosaccharomycetes, Schizosaccharomycetales, Schizosaccharomycetaceae.
AAGCAACAAUUACAUAUGCAACGAUCCAUUUUAUUGUACCCGUUAAAGAACAAAGAAAUACUAACUGUGUUCGAAAACUAUUUAGUUUUCCGAUAAGUUCAAGCUCAAACACAAACGUAAUUGGAAAGCGACAACUUGAAAGUAGUCCAUAUCAGAAUUAACUGAAUAAUGCUGGAAAUAAGUUUAGUGUCCAUUCUAGUUUAUAUUUAUUAAUAAAUGUUUUUUAAAAGACAUUGAGAGGGUGGCGUACAUACUGUGUCUUUAGAAUAAGGCGCCUAAUGAAGUGCUAGUUUACUAUCACGCUAAAAUUAAACAAUCGCUUCUGCUGUUUAAUUUAUAGCUUGAUUGAUAUUUGUUUUCCAUAAAUGAAAGACAGUUUGAUUAAAAAGGAUAAACAUUUUGAGUACAAGAUCAAGAUCAAGAAAACUUAAAAAAAUCAAUCAGACUGUUGAACUGAAAACUAGCAACGAAAAAAUGUACAAGAUGAACUUUCAAUUUAAUAUAUUAAAAUAAGAAAAAUCUUUAAUGCAGACUACUCUUUCGCACCUAAAAGCUCCAAAAACCAUUCCAAGAGCAUGGAAGAUAACUCACUAUAAACAAAUCAUAACAGUGGAUAAACAUAAAAC